GACGAACGCUGGCGGCGUGCCUAAUACAUGCAAGUCGAGCGGACAGACGAGGAGCUUGCGGCUCUGACGUUAGCGGCAGGCGGGUGAAUAACGCGUGGAUAACCUACCUGUAUUACUGGUAACACUACGGGACACCGGAGCUUAUACCGUAGAAUCUAUUGAACCGUGGGGUUCAAUGGUGAGAGUCGGUGGUGCUGGCUCGUCUAGAUGGAUACGAGCUUGAUGAGCGGGUUGGUAAGGUACAAGCUUAUGAAGGCUACGAUGCGUGAGCGAGUGGAGAGAGUGAUCGGCCACACGGGAACGGAGACACGGUCCAGACUCCUACGGGAGGCAGCAGUAGGGUAUCUUACGCAGUGGGCGAAAGCAUGACGGAGCGACGCCGCGCGAGUUAUGAAGGUCUUGCGAUCGUAAAAAUCUGUUAUUAGUGAAGAACAAAUGUGUAAUUAAACAUGCAGGUCGUGACGGUACCGAAUCAGAAAGCCACGGCUAACUACGUG
RNAcentral lists this ribosomal RNA (497 nucleotides) under uncultured bacterium. Its description in RNAcentral is "partial 16S ribosomal RNA". It matches the Rfam family "Bacterial small subunit ribosomal RNA", at positions 28 to 507 of the family's 1533-position model. The record is from RNAcentral.